Molecule: long non-coding RNA, 952 nt
Filed under: Vulpes vulpes (red fox)
Lineage: Eukaryota; Metazoa; Chordata; Mammalia; Carnivora; Canidae
Description: lncRNA (ENSVVUG00000020672.1)
Source: RNAcentral
CUCAGUUGAACUUGAUCCAGUCCAAAGAAGAAGAAACCAAGGCACAGAUAGAGUUUGAGUGACUUGCCAGCAUUUCACAGUUUGGCUUCAAGAUCAGAUUUUCCUAAUGUAGGAAUCUUUCUACUUUACCACGCCCUGCACUACCAGUCCCUGAAGUAGCAUUUUUUUCUCCUAACAGAGUUAGGAAGAAUUUGCCUGUAGAAGAGAUCUCCUUAAACUCAGCAGCAUUACCCAGACCCUCCAGUCUCAGAGCUCUGGCCUCAGCCUACUUGCAGCUAUGGCUAAAUCUCCCCUUGCAGUGCAAAGGCUCUUUUUGCACUUAAUGGCAGGAUAGAGGCUCGGCCUCCCCAGCUCUAAUGUUUCCAUUUCUUGGGGACUUUACAGCUGCCUCAAGGUGGUCCCCCCUCCCCCUGCCCAGUCUCUCUGCUUCAGGAUCCAUUCGUCCUGGUGUGUGAAUCCCUGAAGUAGCAUUUGAAUCCUCUUGAUUCAGCCGGAGCAUCUUGGAAAAGUUGUCUCUCUCUCUUUCUCUCUCUCAUACAUAUAAAAAGCCAGGCCAGGGUCAGGGGAGGAUUCUUUGCCUACUGGGAAAAAUGGAGAGGAGGGAAUGGUCACAGCAAGUCUUUUGGAUUUCCUGGGAAAGCUUUUCUCUCUGCUGUGAAGAGGAAACUUCUGGAAGAAGGCCACAUAGAAGUGACAUUUGCUUUUUGGAGAUUUACUGGGGAGCACAUGGGAGCCCAGCUGAGAGUCCUGUAGGAGGAAAAAAUUACUACACAAAUGUACAUUUUCACCCUUGCUUAAUGAAGACAGAAGAUCAGAAAGAAGUAAGGACAUGUGACUCUAGCUCCUCACUGGGGUAUGUCUAAAUCCUUUUCACAGACCUUAGGACUUAGACAAUGGAAGGAGCAUUUGUAUGCAAGUCAGGAUUUGGUGUCCAGUCCCAGAGUGUCUUGGC